GACGAACGCUGGCGGCGUGCUUAACACAUGCAAGUCGAACGGAAAGGCCCUGCUUUUGUGGGGUGCUCGAGUGGCGAACGGGUGAGUAACACGUGAGUAACCUGCCCUUGACUUUGGGAUAACUUCAGGAAACUGGGGCUAAUCCCGGAUAGGAGCUCCUGCUGCAUGGUGGGGGUUGGAUAGUUUCGGCGGUUGGGGAUGGACUCGCGGCUUAUCAGCUUGUUGGUGGGGUAGUGGCUUACCAAGGCUUUGACGGGUAGCCGGCCUGAGAGGGUGACCGGCCACUUUGGGACUGGGAUACGGCCCAGACUCGUACGGGAGGCAGCAGUGGGGAAUAUUGCACGAUGGGCGAAAGCCUGAUGCAGCAACGCCGCGUGCGGGAUGACGGCCUUCGGGUUGUAAACCGCUUUCGCCUGUGACGAAGCGUGAAUGACGGUAAUGGGUAAAGAAGCACCGGCUAACUACGUG
Molecule: ribosomal RNA, 468 nt
Filed under: uncultured bacterium
Lineage: Bacteria
Description: partial 16S ribosomal RNA
Rfam family: Bacterial small subunit ribosomal RNA
Source: RNAcentral